GCCCUACGGGGUGCAGCAGGCGCGAAAACUUUACAAUGCUGGCAACAGCGAUAAGGGAACCUCGAGUGCCAGGUUACAAAUCUGGCUGUCGAGAUGCCUAAAAAGCAUUUCAUAGCAAGGGCCGGGCAAGACCGGUGCCAGCCGCCGCGGUAACACCGGCGGCUCGAGUGGUAACCGUUAUUAUUGGGUCUAAAGGGUCUGUAGCCGGCCGGAUAAGUCUCUUGAGAAAUCUGGCAGCUUAACCGUCAGGCUUUCAGGAGAUACUGUCUGGCUCGAGGCCGGGAGAGGUGAGAGGUACUUCAGGGGUAGGGGUGAAAUCUUGUAAUCCUUGAAGGACCACCAGUGGCGAAGGCGCCUCACCAGAACGGACCCGACGGCAAGGGACGAAAGCUAGGGGCACGAACCGGAUUAGAUACCCGGGUAGUCCUAGCCGUAAACGAUACUCGCUAGGUGUCGGCCACGGUGCGACCGUUGUCGGUGCCGUAGGGAAGCCGUGAAGCGAGCCACCUGGGAAGUACGGCCGCAAGGCUGAAACUUAAAGGAAUUGGCGGGGGAGCACCACAACGGGUGGAGCUUGCGGUUUAAUUGGAUUCAACGCCGGAAAUCUUAC
This 610-nucleotide ribosomal RNA is filed under the name uncultured archaeon. Its description in RNAcentral is "bacterial SSU rRNA". It matches the Rfam family "Archaeal small subunit ribosomal RNA", at positions 320 to 930 of the family's 1478-position model. The record is from RNAcentral.